UGUGAGCUCGAUGAGUAGGGCGGGACACGUGGUAUCCUGUCUGAAUAUGGGGGGACCAUCCUCCAAGGCUAAAUACUCCUGACUGACCGAUAGUGAACCAGUACCGUGAGGGAAAGGCGAAAAGAACCCCGGCGAGGGGAGUGAAAAAGAACCUGAAACCGUGUACGUACAAGCAGUGGGAGCCUCUUUUAUGGGGUGACUGCGUACCUUUUGUAUAAUGGGUCAGCGACUUAUAUUCUGUAGCAAGGUUAACCGAAUAGGGGAGCCGAAGGGAAACCGAGUCUUAACUGGGCGUUAAGUUGCAGGGUAUAGACCCGAAACCCGGUGAUCUAGCCAUGGGCAGGUUGAAGGUUGGGUAACACUAACUGGAGGACCGAACCGACUAAUGUUGAAAAAUUAGCGGAUGACUUGUGGCUGGGGGUGAAAGGCCAAUCAAACCGGGAGAUAGCUGGUUCUCCCCGAAAGCUAUUUAGGUAGCGCCUCGUGAAUUCAUCUCCGGGGGUAGAGCACUGUUUCGGCAAGGGGGUCAUCCCGACUUACCAACCCGAUGCAAACUGCGAAUACCGGAGAAUGUUAUCACGGGAGACACACGGCGGGUGCUAACGUCCGUCGUGAAGAGGGAAACAACCCAGACCGCCAGCUAAGGUCCCAAAGUCAUGGUUAAGUGGGAAACGAUGUGGGAAGGCCCAGACAGCCAGGAUGUUGGCUUAGAAGCAGCCAUCAUUUAAAGAAAGCGUAAUAGCUCACUGGUCGAGUCGGCCUGCGCGGAAGAUGUAACGGGGCUAAACCAUGCACCGAAGCUGCGGCAGCGACGCUUAUGCGUUGUUGGGUAGGGGAGCGUUCUGUAAGCCUGUGAAGGUGUGCUGUGAGGCAUGCUGGAGGUAUCAGAAGUGCGAAUGCUGACAUAAGUAACGAUAAAGCGGGUGAAAAGCCCGCUCGCCGGAAGACCAAGGGUUCCUGUCCAACGUUAAUCGGGGCAGGGUGAGUCGACCCCUAAGGCGAGGCCGAAAGGCGUAGUCGAUGGGAAACAGGUUAAUAUUCCUGUACUUGGUGUUACUGCGAAGGGGGGACGGAGAAGGCUAUGUUGGCCGGGCGACGGUUGUCCCGGUUUAAGCGUGUAGGCUGGUUUUCCAGGCAAAUCCGGAAAAUCAAGGCUGAGGCGUGAUGACGAGGCACUACGGUGCUGAAGCAACAAAUGCCCUGCUUCCAGGAAAAGCCUCUAAGCAUCAGGUAACAUCAAAUCGUACCCCAAACCGACACAGGUGGUCAGGUAGAGAAUACCAAGGCGCUUGAGAGAACUCGGGUGAAGGAACUAGGCAAAAUGGUGCCGUAACUUCGGGAGAAGGCACGCUGAUAUGUAGGUGAAGUCCCUUGCGGAUGGAGCUGAAAUCAGUCGAAGAUACCAGCUGGCUGCAACUGUUUAUUAAAAACACAGCACUGUGCAAACACGAAAGUGGACGUAUACGGUGUGACGCCUGCCCGGUGCCGGAAGGUUAAUUGAUGGGGUCAGCGCAAGCGAAGCUCUUGAUCGAAGCCCCGGUAAACGGCGGCCGUAACUAUAACGGUCCUAAGGUAGCGAAAUUCCUUGUCGGGUAAGUUCCGACCUGCACGAAUGGCGUAAUGAUGGCCAGGCUGUCUCCACCCGAGACUCAGUGAAAUUGAACUCGCUGUGAAGAUGCAGUGUACCCGCGGCAAGACGGAAAGACCCCGUGAACCUUUACUAUAGCUUGACACUGAACAUUGAGCCUUGAUGUGUAGGAUAGGUGGGAGGCUUUGAAGUGUGGACGCCAGUCUGCAUGGAGCCGACCUUGAAAUACCACCCUUUAAUGUUUGAUGUUCUAACGUGGACCCGUGAUCCGGGUUGCGGACAGUGUCUGGUGGGUAGUUUGACUGGGGCGGUCUCCUCCUAAAGAGUAACGGAGGAGCACGAAGGUUGGCUAAUCCUGGUCGGACAUCAGGAGGUUAGUGCAAUGGCAUAAGCCAGCUUGACUGCGAGCGUGACGGCGCGAGCAGGUGCGAAAGCAGGUCAUAGUGAUCCGGUGGUUCUGAAUGGAAGGGCCAUCGCUCAACGGAUAAAAGGUACUCCGGGGAUAACAGGCUGAUACCGCCCAAGAGUUCAUAUCGACGGCGGUGUUUGGCACCUCGAUGUCGGCUCAUCACAUCCUGGGGCUGAAGUAGGUCCCAAGGGUAUGGCUGUUCGCCAUUUAAAGUGGUACGCGAGCUGGGUUUAGAACGUCGUGAGACAGUUCGGUCCCUAUCUGCCGUGGGCGCUGGAGAACUGAGGGGGGCUGCUCCUAGUACGAGAGGACCGGAGUGGACGCAUCACUGGUGUUCGGGUUGUCAUGCCAAUGGCACUGCCCGGUAGCUAAAUGCGGAAGAGAUAAGUGCUGAAAGCAUCUAAGCACGAAACUUGCCCCGAGAUGAGUUCUCCCUGACUCCUUGAGAGUCCUGAAGGAACGUUGAAGACGACGACGUUGAUAGGCCGGGUGUGUAAGCGCAGCGAUGCGUUGAGCUAACCGGUACUAAUGAACCGUGAGGCUUAACC
RNAcentral lists this ribosomal RNA (2545 nucleotides) under Escherichia coli. RNAcentral describes it as "bacterial LSU rRNA". It matches the Rfam family "Bacterial large subunit ribosomal RNA", at positions 398 to 2925 of the family's 2925-position model. Lineage: Bacteria; Pseudomonadati; Pseudomonadota; Gammaproteobacteria; Enterobacterales; Enterobacteriaceae. The record is from RNAcentral.